This 501-nucleotide ribosomal RNA is filed under the name uncultured bacterium. RNAcentral describes it as "partial 16S ribosomal RNA". It matches the Rfam family "Bacterial small subunit ribosomal RNA", at positions 30 to 523 of the family's 1533-position model. The record is from RNAcentral.
AUUGAAUGCUGGCGGCAGGCUUAACACAUGCAAGUCGAGCGGAGAUGAGGUGCUUGCACCUUAUCUUAGCGGCGGACAGGUGAGUAAUGCUUAGGAAUCUGCCUAUUAGUGGGGGACAACAUUCCGAAAGGAAUGCUAAUACCGCAUACGUCCUACGGGAGAAAGCAGGGGAUCUUCGGACCUUGCGCUAAUAGAUGAGCCUAAGCCGGAUUAGCUAGUUGGUGGGGUAAAGGCCUACCAAGGCGACGAUCUGUAGCGGGUCUGAGAGGAUGAUCCGCCACACUGGGACUGAGACACGGCCCAGACUCCUACGGGAGGCAGCAGUGGGGAAUAUUGGACAAUGGGCGGAAGCCUGAUCCAGCCAUGCCGCGUGUGUGAAGAAGGCCUUUUGGUUGUAAAGCACUUUAAGCGAGGAGGAGGCUACUAGUAUUAAUACUACUGGAUAGUGGACGUUACUCGCAGAAUAAGCACCGGCUAACUCUGUGCCAGCCGCCGCGGUAA